RNAcentral lists this non-coding RNA (255 nucleotides) under Clostridium carboxidivorans. RNAcentral describes it as "T-box sequence". It matches the Rfam family "T-box leader". From Rfam's summary of the family: Uncharged tRNA acts as the effector for transcription antitermination of genes in the T-box leader family. Lineage: Bacteria; Bacillati; Bacillota; Clostridia; Eubacteriales; Clostridiaceae. The record is from RNAcentral.
AGAAUUGCAAUGAUGAGAAGAGUAAGUUAUAGGAAACUGACAGAGAGGGAUCUCCAUUGGGUGUAAGAGAUCUUGAGUUGAAAGUAACUGAAGUGCAUCUCAGAGCACUGAAUUGAAGUUUAGUAGACUUCAGCGGGUACGCCCGUUAAAGCGUUGAGGUAUGAUUGUACCAAAAUUAAGAGUUGUUAUGUGUUAUUGGUUUAGUUUUACAUAAUAAACAGAGUGGAACCGCGGAAUUAUACUUCUGCCUCUGUA